AAAAUAAUAAAACAAAGUACAAGGAAAAAUACAUUUCGAAGUGAUUUUAGAGAUGGGUAAAACACUUAUAGUAAAAUUGACUUAAAUUAAGUAAGUACUUAUAAUAAUAUAUAUAUCAUCUAGCAAAAACUAAGUUAAUUUUUAUUUGUUUUAUAACUUUUCUUCUAAAAAUCUUGUUGCAGUCAAAUAGUGUAUAAGAACUUUCUUGAAGUAUUUGAUUUAAUUGGUGCAUUAGAGAAGUAAUU
This is a non-coding RNA of Cinara cedri, 245 nucleotides long. The record is from the annotation of a GenBank genome assembly. Lineage: Eukaryota; Metazoa; Arthropoda; Insecta; Hemiptera; Aphididae.